UGGAAGUAAAAGUCGUAACAAGGUCUCCGUUGGUGAACCAGCGGAGGGAUCAUUACCGAGUUUACAACUCCCAAACCCAAUGUGAACGUUACCAAACUGUUGCCUCGGCGGGGUCACGCCCCGGGUGCGUAAAAGCCCCGGAACCAGGCGCCCGCCGGAGGGACCAACCAAACUCUUUUCUGUAGCCUUCGGGCGUUAUUUCUUACAGCUCUGAGCAAAAAUUCAAAAUGAAUCAAAACUUUCAACAACGGAUCUCUUGGUUCUGGCAUCGAUGAAGAACGCAGCGAAAUGCGAUAAGUAAUGUGAAUUGCAGAAUUCAGUGAAUCAUCGAAUCUUUGAACGCACAUUGCGCCCGCCAGUAUUCUGGCGGGCAUGCCUGUCCGAGCGUCAUUUCAACCCUCGAACCCCCUAGGGGGUCCGGCGUUGGGGAUCGGGGACCCCUAAGACGGGAUCCCGGCCCCGAAAUACAGUGGCGGUCUCGCCGCAGCCUCUCCUGCGCAGUAGUUUGCACAACUCGCACCGGGAGCGCGGCGCGUCCACGUCCGUAAAACACCCAACUUCUGAAAUGUUGACCUCGGAUCAGGUAGGAAUACCCGCUGAACUUAAGCAUAUCAAUAAGCGGAGGA
Molecule: ribosomal RNA, 626 nt
Filed under: Trichoderma caerulescens
Lineage: Eukaryota; Fungi; Ascomycota; Sordariomycetes; Hypocreales; Hypocreaceae
Description: eukaryotic LSU rRNA
Rfam family: 5.8S ribosomal RNA (bases 237-390)
Source: RNAcentral